Molecule: long non-coding RNA, 299 nt
Filed under: Setaria italica (foxtail millet)
Lineage: Eukaryota; Viridiplantae; Streptophyta; Magnoliopsida; Poales; Poaceae
Description: long non-coding RNA (SITA_LNC007000)
Source: RNAcentral
ACGAAACCGCGAUGGUUGUUGGUGAAGGUGACUAGUCGGAGUCGAUUUCGACUAGUUGUUGACGGUGCGAGGCCCGACCCCGACUAGUUUUCUAGUCAAGAUGAGUAGCCGAAGUGGUUGUUGUCGGAGCGUCGGCGCUUGCGAUCUUGUCAGUGUGGUGGUACAUGCUGCUGGCGCUUGAUUAUUAGGGGCACUGUAUAACCUGAUCAAGGAACAUGCAGGCUGCGUACGUAUUGUGUGUGCUUGAUGUUUAUUUCGUUGCCGUGAAAUCCUUCCUCCUUGAUCCGCGUGAAUAUUAA